Molecule: ribosomal RNA, 497 nt
Filed under: uncultured bacterium
Lineage: Bacteria
Description: partial 16S ribosomal RNA
Rfam family: Bacterial small subunit ribosomal RNA
Source: RNAcentral
GAUGAACGCUGGCGGCGUGCCUAAUACAUGCAAGUCGAGCGAACGGACGAGAAGCUUGCUUCUCUGAUGUUAGCGGCGGACGGGUGAGUAACACGGGGAUAACCUACCUAUAAGACUGGGAUAACUUCGGGAAACCGGAGCUAAUACCGGAUAAUAUUUUGAACCGCAUGGUUCAAAAGUAAAAGACGGUCUUGCUGUCACUUAUAGAUGGAUCCGCGCUGCAUUAGCUAGUUGGUAAGGUAACGGCUUACCAAGGCAACGAUGCAUAGCCGACCUGAGAGGGUGAUCGGCCACACUGGAACUGAGACACGGUCCAGACUCCUACGGGAGGCAGCAGUAGGGAAUCUUCCGCAAUGGGCGAAAGCCUGACGGAGCAACGCCGCGUGAGUGAUGAAGGUCUUCGGAUCGUAAAACUCUGUUAUUAGGGAAGAACAUAUGUGUAAGUAACUGUGCACAUCUUGACGGUACCUAAUCAGAAAGCCACGGCUAACUACGUG